Alosa sapidissima (American shad) is the source of this 508-nucleotide long non-coding RNA. RefSeq lists it as uncharacterized. The transcript has 3 exons. The record is from RefSeq and is a predicted model, not a curated record. Lineage: Eukaryota; Metazoa; Chordata; Actinopteri; Clupeiformes; Clupeidae.
GGUUCAGCAAAAUGCUCAUCAAUGUCCAGUACCAUGGAGAAAAAAGUACCUCAAACUGCAGCCUGGUUUUUCUUUUCAAAGUUUAAUUCGAGAAGGCACAUCAAUCCACUGGUGCAAAAGAAGAGAACACCUCUGCCAUAGGAGAUUCAGCAGAAAAAGGCCAAACAGAUGGUCCAGGAGGUUCUGGAGAAGAGUUAAAUGGGAGAGGAAAUAAUGGAGGAGUAUAGUAGAGCACCUUGAUACACUGUACAAGAAGGCAUCUUCUGAAUAUUCUGGUCCAUGGGUAUGUUUUGUUUUGAAUAAAUUAAUCUAAUUGUAUACAACAGUUAGGUCCAGUCAAACUAUUAACUCUUUUCUGACUGAACGAGAGGGAUUCCAUGGGUGGGGUUAUCUCAGGACAUCCCUACUCAGACUUUUCAGUGGUAGUGCCAUUUUUACAUUGAUCCAAUGUUAUCGUUCCAUUCAUUCAAAGUGAGAGAACAUUGUAACAUAACAUCACAAUUGACUG